GUGCCAGCAGCCGCGGUAACACGGGGGGAGCAAGCGUUGUUCGGAAUUACUGGGCGUAAAGGGCGUGUAGGCGGUCGAGUGAGUGAGAUGUGAAAUGCCCCGGCUCACCCGGGGACCUGCAUCUCAUACUGCUAGGCUAGAGUACGGGAGAGGAUGAGGGAAUUCCUGGUGUAGCGGUGAAAUGCGUAGAUAUCAGGAGGAACACCGGUGGCGAAAGCGCUCAUCUGGCCCGAUACUGACGCUGAGGCGCGAAAGCUAGGGGAGCAAACGGGAUUAGAUACCCCCGUAGUCC
Molecule: ribosomal RNA, 292 nt
Filed under: uncultured bacterium
Lineage: Bacteria
Description: partial 16S ribosomal RNA
Rfam family: Bacterial small subunit ribosomal RNA
Source: RNAcentral